UACAGAGGGUGCGAGCGUUGUUCGGAUUUACUGGGCGUAAAGGGCGCGUAGGCGGCCACCGCAAGUCGACUGUGAAAUCUCCGGGCUUAACCCGGAAAGGUCAGCCGAUACUGCGGGGCUAGAGUGCAGAAGGGGCAACUGGAAUUCUCGGUGUAGCGGUGAAAUGCUUAGAUAUCGUCAAGAACACCUAUUGCGAAGGCAGCUAACUAAGCUCAAACUGACGCUGAGGCACGAAAGUGUGGGGAUCAAACAGG
RNAcentral lists this ribosomal RNA (254 nucleotides) under uncultured bacterium. RNAcentral's name for it is "partial 16S ribosomal RNA". It matches the Rfam family "Bacterial small subunit ribosomal RNA", at positions 524 to 776 of the family's 1533-position model. The record is from RNAcentral.